RNAcentral lists this unclassified non-coding RNA (279 nucleotides) under plant metagenome. RNAcentral describes it as "partial contains small subunit ribosomal RNA, internal transcribed spacer 1, and 5.8S ribosomal RNA". The record is from RNAcentral.
UCUCCGUAGGUGAACCUGCGGAGGGAUCAUUACAGAGUUCAUGCCCUACCGGGUUGAUCUACCAUACUAUGUUAUUAUUAUGGUGUCGAUUUGGCGGGACGUUAGGCUCCGGCUCCACGACCCGCCCCGGCCGGUAAGUCGCCGUCAGACGUACCGAAAGCCUGAAUCAGAGUGUCGUUUGGGGACUAUAGCAUAGUCAAAACUUUGUAUAACAGAUCUCUUGGUUCUGGCUUCGAUGAAGAACGCAGAUGAUCGGUAGAGCACACGUCGGAAUACAAG